This 148-nucleotide non-coding RNA is filed under the name Chlorocebus sabaeus (green monkey). Lineage: Eukaryota; Metazoa; Chordata; Mammalia; Primates; Cercopithecidae. The record is from Rfam by way of RNAcentral.
GCCGGGUGUGGUGACACACGCCUGUAGUCCCAGCUACUCGGGAGGCUGAGGUGGGAGAAUCACUUGAACCCAGGAAGUGGAGGUUGCAGUGAGCCAAGACCAUGCCAUUGCACUCCAGCCUGGGUAACAAAGUGAGACUCCAUCUCCA